Molecule: unclassified non-coding RNA, 367 nt
Filed under: uncultured Zopfiella
Lineage: Eukaryota; Fungi; Ascomycota; Sordariomycetes; Sordariales; Chaetomiaceae
Description: sequence contains ITS2
Rfam family: 5.8S ribosomal RNA (bases 1-154)
Source: RNAcentral
AACUUUUGCCAACGGAUCACUUGGUUCUGGCAUCGAUGAAGAACGCAGCGAAAUGCGAUAAGUAAUGUGAAUUGCAGAAUUCAGUGAAUCAUCGAAUCUUUGAACGCACAUUGCGCCCGCCAGUAUUCUGGCGGGCAUGCCUGUCCGAGCGUCAUUUCAACCAUCAAGCCCCGGGCUUGUGUUGGGGACCUGCGUCUGACGCAGGCCCUGAAAACCAGUGGCGGGCUCGCUGUCCACACCGAGCGUAGUAACUAACCUCGCUAUGGAGUGGCGCGGGCGCCUGCCGUAAACCCCCCAAUUUUACAAGGUUGACCUCGGAUCAGGUAGGAAUACCCGCUGAACUUAAGCAUAUCAAUAAGCGGAGGCU